CGGAAGUUUCAGGCAGCCAUUUCCCAGAUUGUUCUACUAAAUAUUUGCAGUGAUGAUGACUACAGGUUUCCACUUACAUUAUAUUCACCCCAAUUCCCAGAUCCAUUAUUGGCAAAACCAUAUUACACAGAUCUAAUGAAAAUCGUCGACGCCAACUACUAUGAAAAUUGUACAUUUAAAUAGUAAACACCGAUAUGCUAACAUAAUUAACAACACUAAACACAGCUGAUUACAACCAAUUCACACUCUGAUCCCACUAGUCUUAUUCCUUCCAACAAUCACAAACUGAGCCAUCUUUGACACCGCUGCAGUGAAACCACUUUGAAAUGAUUUGACCGUAACAAAAGCGAAGUAGUUACAGUCUCCACAAUGUAGCUCCAUAUGUACAGAUUUAAAACAAGAAGCACCUCAACGGGAAAUGCCAUGAAAGUUAUUAAACGUGGAACAUUUAAGUUUAAGCAUCAACAGCUUGUGAGACUGAUUUUGUGGGAUUUGAGUCCCCUCUUCCACUGGGUUUUGAUCUAGUCUUGAUGGGCU
RNAcentral lists this long non-coding RNA (537 nucleotides) under Prunus persica (peach). RNAcentral's name for it is "long non-coding RNA (PPER_LNC005956)". The record is from RNAcentral. Lineage: Eukaryota; Viridiplantae; Streptophyta; Magnoliopsida; Rosales; Rosaceae.